RNAcentral lists this ribosomal RNA (497 nucleotides) under uncultured bacterium. Its description in RNAcentral is "partial 16S ribosomal RNA". It matches the Rfam family "Bacterial small subunit ribosomal RNA", at positions 28 to 507 of the family's 1533-position model. The record is from RNAcentral.
GAUGAACGCUGGCGGCGUGCCUAAUACAUGCAAGUCGAGCGAACAGACGAGGAGCUUGCUCCUCUGACGUUAGCGGCGGACGGGUGAGUAACACGUGGAUAACCUACCUAUAAGACUGGGAUAACUUCGGGAAACCGGAGCUAAUACCGGAUAAUAUAUUGAACCGCAUGGUUCAAUAGUGAAAGACGGUUUUGCUGUCACUUAUAGAUGGAUCCGCGCCGCAUUAGCUAGUUGGUAAGGUAACGGCUUACCAAGGCGACGAUGCGUAGCCGACCUGAGAGGGUGAUCGGCCACACUGGAACUGAGACACGGUCCAGACACCUACGGGAGGCAGCAGUAGGGAAUCUUCCGCAAUGGGCGAAAGCCUGACGGAGCAACGCCGCGUGAGUGAUGAAGGUCUUCGGAUCGUAAAACUCUGUUAUUAGGGAAGAACAAAUGUGUAAGUAACUAUGCACGUCUUGACGGUACCUAAUCAGAAAGCCACGGCUAACUACGUG